Molecule: ribosomal RNA, 449 nt
Filed under: uncultured bacterium
Lineage: Bacteria
Description: partial 16S ribosomal RNA
Rfam family: Bacterial small subunit ribosomal RNA
Source: RNAcentral
AACGAACGCUGGCGGCAUGCCUAACACAUGCAAGUCGAACGAACCCUUCGGGGUGAGUGGCGCACGGGUGCGUAACACGUGGGAACCUGCCCUUAGGUUCGGAAUAACAGUUAGAAAUGACUGCUAAUACCGGAUAAUGUCUUCGGACCAAAGAUUUAUCGCCUUUGGAUGGGCCCGCGUAGGAUUAGCUAGUUGGUGAGGUAAAGGCUCACCAAGGCGACGAUCCUUAGCUGGUCUUAGAGGAUGAGCAGCCACACUGGGACUGAGACACGGCCCAGACUCCUACGGGAGGCAGCAGUGGGGAAUAUUGGACAAUGGGCGAAAGCCUGAUCCAGCAAUGCCGCGUGAGUGAUGAAGGCCUUAGGGUUGUAAAGCUCUUUUACCUGGGAUGAUAAUGACAGUACCAGGAGAAUAAGCCCCGGCUAACUCCGUGCCAGCCGCCGCCGUAA